UACGAGGGGUGCAAGCGUUGUUCGGAAUUAUUGGGCGUAAAGGGUAUGUAGGCGGUUCUGCAAGUCUGGUGUGAAAUACCGGGGCUCAACCCCGGAACUGCGUUGGAAACUGCAGGACUUGAAUCGCUGAGGGGCAGCCAGAAUUCCAGGUGUAGGGGUGAAAUCUGUAGAUAUCUGGAAGAAUACCAAUGGCGAAGGCAGGCUGCCAGCAGAUGAUUGACGCUGAGGUACGAAGGUGCGGGGAGCAAAC
This 250-nucleotide ribosomal RNA is filed under the name uncultured prokaryote. Its description in RNAcentral is "partial 16S ribosomal RNA". It matches the Rfam family "Bacterial small subunit ribosomal RNA", at positions 524 to 773 of the family's 1533-position model. The record is from RNAcentral.